CAGACCUCUGACCCUUGAGGACCUACAUACUGAGAAACAAAGAGACAUGUUCCAAGCCGUGUUACAACUGAAUUCCAUUUGUACUUCAGAUGCCUGGCAAGAUUGAGAAGGAACACUUCCAGAAGCCAGAUUGAUAAUCAUCGGGUGCAGCAAAAGCUGGGCAUCCACAGUCACGACUGGCCUUGCUCUGCAGGGAGAAAACAAGAGGUUUCCAUGAGCCACAUGAGCAACACUGCACUUCUAGGGACCACUGCCAACGUUCCCAGCCUUCAGGCCAAGAAUUUGCCUCACUGCAUGAACAGGUGGGCUCCAGACUUAACUAAUUACCUUAAAACACAUGUCGUCGCUCAUGACUCCAAAUGAAGGAUGCUAUGGGCCCCAUCAAGCAAAACUGUGUUCACAGACUUGCUUUGUUUCUGGAGGGGGCUCAGGGUAUUUGGUGCUAUCACCAUGCACUGCCUCUCUGGAAUCUGCUCUAUUCCUAUCGGAGCAAAUGCGUCAUUCUGCCUUCACUCGUGCCUGUAAGUACUUGAGUUUUGCAAAUUCUCUCAUCUUA
Leopardus geoffroyi (Geoffroy's cat) is the source of this 556-nucleotide long non-coding RNA. RefSeq lists it as uncharacterized. The record is from RefSeq and is a predicted model, not a curated record. NCBI's taxonomy places the organism in Eukaryota, Metazoa, Chordata, Mammalia, Carnivora, Felidae. The transcript is spliced from 2 exons.